This 427-nucleotide ribosomal RNA is filed under the name uncultured bacterium. Its description in RNAcentral is "partial 16S ribosomal RNA". It matches the Rfam family "Bacterial small subunit ribosomal RNA", at positions 355 to 774 of the family's 1533-position model. The record is from RNAcentral.
UGGGGAAUAUUGGACAAUGGGGGCAACCCUGAUCCAGCCAUGCCGCGUGUGUGAAGAAGGCCUUUUGGUUGUAAAGCACUUUAAGCAGUGAAGAAGACUCCAUGGUUAAUACCCAUGGACGAUGACAUUAGCUGCAGAAUAAGCACCGGCUAACUCUGUGCCAGCAGCCGCGGUAAUACAGAGGGUGCAAGCGUUAAUCGGAAUUACUGGGCGUAAAGCGAGCGUAGGUGGCUUGAUAAGUCAGAUGUGAAAGCCCCGGGCUUAACCUGGGAACGGCAUCUGAUACUGUUAGGUUAGAGUAGGUGAGAGGAAGGUAGAAUUCCAGGUGUAGCGGUGAAAUGCGUAGAGAUCUGGAGGAAUACCGAUGGCGAAGGCAGCCUUCUGGCAUCAUACUGACACUGAGGUUCGAAAGCGUGGGUAGCAAACA